CAGGUGAGCAUGUCGUCCCGUUCGCCUAUGCAUACAUAUGCACGCUAUGCCGAUCCACGCUCGCAAGAGCAUCUCGUGAUAUAUGGCGACCGCAGCAGCCAAACGGGGGUUGUCGGGGGGCUGGGCAGGCCUCGCAGCAUGCGCCUCACGCCUCCGAAACACAACGCUGCUGAUCAGUCCACCUCCAUAUCCUCGGUUGGCCGCGUAUCUCUCGUGGGUAGCACAAUACCGAAAGCCGCUGCCAACUUGUCUUCCCAUUCCGUGGGUGACAGGUUUGCGGUAGGCUCGCUAGUGACAGGGUGAAUGAACGUGUAGGUCGUUUUGUCCCACUCGAUGUCGCCCUUGUCGUCCGAGAAAUUGGCUGGAAUCCUGCAUCCGCCGUAACAUGCACGGAGUGCCGCGGCGUUCCAGCCAUUGGCUAUGGCCGCGACGCCAAUCUGCAUAGAGCAGGAGCAUGCGCGUCACACAGCUAGCGAAAAGCUGCUGUGCGUUCAUUUCUUACAUUUUCCAGUUGAUAUGCAUCAUUAUGCUCCUGGGAAAUCUUCCCCGGCUUCUUGCGCCGAAGAACAACAAGUUGUUUCGGUGGCAUGUCGGAAAACUGCCGACUUCGUGCAAUGCGGGCGUACCAAAGACGGUGUAUUGGUAUGAAGUAGCAUGUAUGUACCAACAAGACUGAUGCGCAUGCGAUUGUACUGAUGCAAUUCUGGCCAUUUAUGCCCCAUGCCGCCGCCUGACACGCUUACAGGGCG
RNAcentral lists this long non-coding RNA (749 nucleotides) under Chlamydomonas reinhardtii. RNAcentral describes it as "long non-coding RNA (CREI_LNC001381)". Lineage: Eukaryota; Viridiplantae; Chlorophyta; Chlorophyceae; Chlamydomonadales; Chlamydomonadaceae. The record is from RNAcentral.